UUCGUAGGCGGUGCGGCUAGUCGGAAGUGAAAUCUCUGGGCUUAACUCAGAGGCUGCUUCCGAAACUGCCGUGCUCGAGUGCGGGAGAGGCGAGUGGAAUUGCAGGUGUAGCGGUGAAAUGCGUAGAUAUCUGCAGGAACACCCGUGGCGAAGGCGGCUCGCUGGACCGCAACUGACGCUGAGGAACGAAAGCUAGGGGAGCAAACAGGAUUAGAUACCCUGGUACGUCCUAGCCCUAAACCAUCAGGACUUGGGGUGUUCCGCGUACGCGGAUCGUCCCGGAGCUACGCGUUAAGUCCUGCGCCGUGGGGAGUACGGUCGCAAGGCUGAA
This 331-nucleotide ribosomal RNA is filed under the name uncultured bacterium. Its description in RNAcentral is "bacterial SSU rRNA". It matches the Rfam family "Bacterial small subunit ribosomal RNA", at positions 568 to 898 of the family's 1533-position model. The record is from RNAcentral.